CAGCAGCCGCGGUAAUACGGAGGAUGCAAGCGUUAUCCGGAUUCAUUGGGUUUAAAGGGUGCGCAGGCGGUAAUGUAAGUCAGUGGUGAAAGACUUCCGCUCAACGGUAGUCGUGCCAUUGGUACUGCUUUUCUUGAGUUUGGAUGAGGUAGGCGGAAUGUGCAGUGUAGCCGUGAAAUGCAUAGAUAUUGCACAGAACACCAAUUGCGAAGGCAGCUUACUAAUCCACGACUGACGCUGAGGCACGAAAGCGUGGGGAGCGAACAGGAUUAGAUACCCUGGUAGUCCACGCCGUAAACGAUGUUCACUCGCUGUUUGCGAUACACAGUUAGCGGCUUAGCGAAAGCAUUAAGUGAACCACCUGGGGAGUACGAUCGCAAGGUUGAAACUCAAAGGAAUUGACGGGGGCCCGCACAAGCGGAGGAACAUGUGGUUUAAUUCGAUGAUUCGCGAGGAACCUUACCUGGGCUUGAAAUGUAGAGUGCAUGCGGUGGAAACACCCUUCCCUUCGGGGCUCUCUGCAAGGUGCUGCAUGGUUGUCGUCAGCUCGUGCCGUGAGGUGUCGGGUUAAGUCCCAUAACGAGCGCAACCCUUACCGUUAGUUGCCAACAGGUAAUGCUGGGGACUCUAGCGGGACUGCCAGCGUAAGGUGAGAGGAAGGUGGGGAUGACGUCAAAUCAGCAUGGCCCUUAUGUCCAGGGCUACACACGUGUUACAAUGGCUAGUACAGAGGGCAGCUACUCCGCGAGAGGAUGCUAAUCUUAAAAGCCGGUCUCAGUUCGGAUUGGAGUCUGCAACCCGACUCCAUGAAGUUGGAUUCGCUAGUAAUCGCGCAUCAGCCAUGGCGCGGUGAAUACGUUCCCGGGCCUUGUACACACCGCCCGUCAAACCAUGGGAGCUGGGGGUGCCUGAAGACUGUUACCCGUAAGGGAGCGGCCUAGGGUAGACCCGGAGAUUGGGGUUAAGUCGUAACAAGGUAACCGUA
Molecule: ribosomal RNA, 985 nt
Filed under: uncultured bacterium TAYNAYA-26
Lineage: Bacteria; Pseudomonadati; Bacteroidota; Bacteroidia; Bacteroidales; Bacteroidaceae
Description: bacterial SSU rRNA
Rfam family: Bacterial small subunit ribosomal RNA
Source: RNAcentral